RNAcentral lists this transfer RNA (73 nucleotides) under Candidatus Iainarchaeum sp. RNAcentral's name for it is "tRNA-Pro". It matches the Rfam family "tRNA". From Rfam's summary of the family: Transfer RNA (tRNA) molecules are approximately 80 nucleotides in length. The record is from RNAcentral. Lineage: Archaea; Nanobdellati; Candidatus Iainarchaeota; Candidatus Iainarchaeia; Candidatus Iainarchaeales; Candidatus Iainarchaeaceae.
GGGCGUGUAGUCUAGUCUGGUAGGAUACCAGCUUUGGGAGCUGGCGACCUCGGUUCAAAUCCGGGCACGCCCA